Thalassophryne amazonica is the source of this 258-nucleotide long non-coding RNA. RefSeq lists it as uncharacterized. The record is from RefSeq and is a predicted model, not a curated record. Lineage: Eukaryota; Metazoa; Chordata; Actinopteri; Batrachoidiformes; Batrachoididae. The transcript is spliced from 2 exons.
GUGAAUUACCAUGUGUCUGUUCAGGUUGCUUUUUUGUCUAAAUCUUUUACCACACUCAGAACAGACAAAUGCUUUUUGCCCUGUAUGAAUUAUCAUGUGUCUGUUCAGGUGACCCUUUUGUCCAACUCUUUUACCACACUGAGAACAGACAAAUGCUUUUUGCCCUGUAUGAAUUACCAUGUGUCUGUUCAGGUCGCCCCUUUGUCCAAAUCUUUUACCACACUCAGAACAGACAAAUGCUUUGUGCCCUGUGUGAAU